GUCCCGUCGAGGUUUUUUCCGGCGCCGCCUCUGACGGGCCGUGCGACGUCCCGACUCGACCCAGUGGGGGCCUCCCCUCUGUCCCCGGAUGACCCCCGCCAAGGAUGGAGUAGCUCACGAAUGGGCCCUCAGAGGUGCAUCUGGCUGUAUCCCUCGGUCCCACCGCCUCUGUGAAGACAGCUUUUGUGACAUGAGAACAUUCAGGAAGUCUAUGGAGUGAUUCAUAGGAAUACAGGUCAACAGCCCACAGACAGCAAGUAACUGAGACCCGCCGAAGACUAUCUGCCUCAACUUGGAAGUGAAUCCUCCAGCCCUAUGCUACCUUUCAUUCAGACAAUGGCAUUCCCCCAACCCAACAGCUUGACUGCAACCUCAUGAGGGAGCCAGCAACACCCACCCACCCAUUACCUGAUUUUUGUCCAUCAGAAACUGGGAAAUAAUAAAUACUGGUUAUUUUAAGUUUCUAAAUUAGGGGUAACUUGUUAUAUAGCCACUAUUGCCCAUUUGAAAAAUAAUGUGAGCAAGAUGACUGGAUCUAGAUUCCUCUUCUUAACACCAUAAGGGGUUCUUUUAAUUUAGGAUUUAAUAAAGAUAUGGAAAA
Molecule: long non-coding RNA, 601 nt
Organism: Capra hircus (goat)
Lineage: Eukaryota; Metazoa; Chordata; Mammalia; Artiodactyla; Bovidae
Exons: 2
Source: RefSeq, a predicted model, not a curated record